ACACAUGCAAGUCGAACGGUAACAGGAAGCAGCUUGCUGCUUUGCUGACGAGUGGCGGACGGGUGAGUAAUGUCUGGGAAACUGCCUGAUGGAGGGGGAUAACUACUGGAAACGGUAGCUAAUACCGCAUAACGUCGCAAGACCAAAGAGGGGGACCUUCGGGCCUCUUGCCAUCGGAUGUGCCCAGAUGGGAUUAGCUAGUAGGUGGGGUAACGGCUCACCUAGGCGACGAUCCCUAGCUGGUCUGAGAGGAUGACCAGCCACACUGGAACUGAGACACGGUCCAGACUCCUACGGGAGGCAGCAGUGGGGAAUAUUGCACAAUGGGCGCAAGCCUGAUGCAGCCAUGCCGCGUGUAUGAAGAAGGCCUUCGGGUUGUAAAGUACUUUCAGCGGGGAGGAAGGCGAUAAGGUUAAUAACCUUGUCGAUUGACGUUACCCGCAGAAGAAGCACCGGCUAACUCCGUGCCAGCAGCCGCGGUAAUACGGAGGGUGCAAGCGUUAAUCGGAAUUACUGGGCGUAAAGCGCACGCAGGCGGUCUGUCAAGUCGGAUGUGAAAUCCCCGGGCUCAACCUGGGAACUGCAUUCGAAACUGGCAGGCUAGAGUCUUGUAGAGGGGGGUAGAAUUCCAGGUGUAGCGGUGAAAUGCGUAGAGAUCUGGAGGAAUACCGGUGGCGAAGGCGGCCCCCUGGACAAAGACUGACGCUCAGGUGCGAAA
This 718-nucleotide ribosomal RNA is filed under the name Enterobacter hormaechei. RNAcentral's name for it is "bacterial SSU rRNA". It matches the Rfam family "Bacterial small subunit ribosomal RNA", at positions 51 to 758 of the family's 1533-position model. Lineage: Bacteria; Pseudomonadati; Pseudomonadota; Gammaproteobacteria; Enterobacterales; Enterobacteriaceae. The record is from RNAcentral.